AGACGGGGACUGGUUUGUGAUUUUUUUUUUCAAAAAAAAAAAAUGAGGAGCCAUGCCUCUCAUGCGUUUGUCAGAACAGAGCAGUUUUGCUGCUUAAAGUCAGAUCUGCGCCUUUUGCAAUAAAGGAUAAACAUUCGCCUUAAAGCUGCUGCCUGCCACCCGCACCUUCCGAGGUGUGAAGACAUAAAUAUGCUAACUGCUGAGACAGAUGCAUUUUUGGUUCAAGUUCUUGUUGUCCAAUCCCCACUUCCAGCCCAGGAACAGUUCUGACUAAUCCAUUGAAAGGAGAAAAUUAAAAAAUAGAAGAUGUCAUUCCAGGCUAGCCUGUGAGACUCUCACUCAUGUUGGCCUCAUACCUUUGCUGUCCCAUCAAAAUCAAGAAGCAAGAAAUGGCAUGACUACUACAGGGUCUCUUCCAUGUGAAAUCAAUGGAACUGCUUGGGAACGCAGUUCUACUUAAUGAGGAAAGCUGCUGCAUUCUACUGAAGUGAGUUUAGUAGCACACAUCUUCACACCUGGAUACUUAGAGCUGCUAAGGCGCAGCCAAAAAAUGGUGAACACAUAGAUCAUUGUGGCCUGAUCCUCAUCUAAGAAGGCCGAACUCCAGGUAUUGCUGCAGAGGAGACUAGAGAAGAAGUAGCCAAAGGAAAGGAAAAGAAAUACUGGAGAACAAAAGUAUAUUUGAAAUGGAAGAAAUCUACAUUUCAAUGAAAAUACUUUUAAGCUAUUUCAAAUGGCUGAGAGAAAUAAUUACAAAGUUUGGAAAUAGAGAAUGGCAUCUUUGAUAUUUUUUUCUCCUGUGAAGCAAUUAAAAUAAGCAAUGUUUCAAAUACUCAGCAGAAGAUUGCUAAUGGCUGAACCAAAAAGCUUUCAUAAAAUUCUUGGGGCCUUUUUUUCUUCUAAAAAAAGACCAAAAAUAUUAAGGUGUUUUUUCUAGAUAGAUUAAUGCAUGAUGCAGUUGUUAGUUGGAUGCCAUAAAAACUACAGCAGCCCAGACUAGCUGAGAAGAAGAGCCAGAUUUAAAUCAUGCAACAGUCCAGUUAAUAUCAAUGUAUAAUUAAGAAAAGCACAAAAAGUCUGUACUGUUGAUUUGAUGGGAAAAAUCUAAUAGGAUUUCUUUAGGAAUUUUCCAUUCCAGUUGCCCUUGUAGACAUUUAAUGGAUUUCCUACCCUUUCUGUGGUAUUAGUGGCAAUAAUCACACGUUAAAAUCAAGCCCUAAAAUGGAACACAGAUAGACAAAUUAGCCUGUCCAAAGAGUGGUCUUUAUAAAAUGACUCUGUGAGCUCACGCUAAAAUUUUAGUACAAAUGUCUCAAAUGUGGUGUGAAAAUUUGCCAUAUAAUCUUGAUGUAAUGCGAACCCAUUUCUUCACCUUUCUAAUCUUGCUGAAAUUCCUAACAAUUCAGAAAUACUAAAUUAUGGGUUAUUAAACCUAAAUAAUUGGUCUUUUGAAAUGGCAAGGUUUUUUUCUAGUCAUGUAUAUUAGUAGUACAUUGAGGUGGGUUCUUCCGUGACUGGCAGAAAUUUAGAGUACAAUUUUCCUUAUUAAUAUGCACAUACGAAUGACCAUACUGGGUCAGAUCAAAGGUCCAUCUAGCCCACUCUCCUGCCUUCCAACAGUGGCCGAUGCCAGGUGCCCCAGAGGGAAUGAACAGAACAGGGAAUCAUAAAGUGAUCCAUCCCCUGUUGCCAUUCCCAGCUUCUGACAAACCGAGGCUAGGGGCACCAUUCCUCCCAUCGUGGCUAAUUGCUAUCCCCCAUGAAUUUAUCUAGAUCUUUUUUGAACUCUGUUAAAGUCCUGGUCUUCACAACAUCCUCUGGCGAGGAGUUCCAUAGGUUGGCUGUGCGUUGUGUGAAGAAAUACUUUCUUUUCUUUUAAACUUGCUACCUAUUAAUGUCACAGAGUCUCAUGAAUCUCCCACUCAUCACAGGAUAACUCAAUCCCUAGAAUGAAAGUAAAGGGGUGUCACCUGCCACACCAUACAAAUCGUUAUGGAAGUUUAGCUAAGUACCCCUAUUUGAUUGCUUUUAUGGUUGUGCCUUGAGUGUUAAGGGUGCACUGAAGUUGUAAAAUUAAAGGACAAUGUGUACACAGCUGCCUAGCAAAGAGGGGAGAAGGACUGGCACUGGAUUGAAGCAGCCGUGUAUUUGUGGCCACCACUUUAUUGUUGACCCAUUGAGAUCUGAGGGAAUUAUCUCAAUAAUCCAAGAAGACUGCAAUCUCAAAAUACCCCUGCUAUCUCAGGAGCAAACAUAGCAGAGAGUCAUUUUAUACUUUAUUAGAACAUAUGAGAAUACAAUACAAUGGCCAGAAUAAAACAGGGUGCAUUAUUCCAUCCCUCUAUAUCUUCUUUUCCAAUACUAAAUCUGUCUGGAGACCUUUUAAAUUAAAUUUAAAAUUGUUGCCCUUUUGUUUAGCAAAUAAGAAAAGAACAGAGAUAACACCUGAGUAACAUAUAACAGUGAAAGUUCUACAGUCUAGUUCACCAUUACUGACUGAGUCACCGUAGUCCAAAUUCACCCCAGGUGUAAUCCCACUGAUAAAUCAGAGGUGAAUAUUGGCCUAUUAUAUGAAAGUAUAGUGUGACAGCUGUGAUAAAAUGAAAUUCUUCUCAUUAACAUCCUUCUAGCUGAAAUGGGAGGGCAUUCUGGGUAAGAUAUCUUCAGCAAUGAAUUGCAUUCCUCCCCACUUUAAGCAAUUGGGACCCUAGGUCAUGUUGAAAAUCUGAUCUUUUCUCCUAAGCUGCAUGUCACCAGGUAAGUGUGAUGGGUAAAGUUCCUUUUAAAUGGUCACUCAAGACAGAGUAGUGGUGAUUCUUACCACAGCUUUCAAUAUAUGUAUGCAGUUCUCUGAUACCAAAUCAGUUAGCGGAGCCUUUUCUAGCUGUUGUUCUUAAGAGGUAAGCUACACUGAUCUAAAAACAUGAAAAAAAAUAUGAAAAAAGGGUUCCCAAUCUUGUCUAACUUACAUAGCAGGUAUACUCCAAAGGGAUGAGGAAACUUUUUCCACUCCUACCCAAAAGCCAUCCAUCUCUAAAGGUCACUAUAAUUGUGUUCCAGCCUCCUUACAUGGAACACAAUUGACAAGAUUAAAAUAAACCAAUUCAUUGGUUACCUAGCUACAGUAAGUCUAACGUAUGCAGAAAAGAUAGCAUUUCGUUUACUGAAGUUUGCCAUUGAAAUUGCUCAAAGAAGAGUGGAUGAGCCAGAAGAUAGAAAAUGGGAGACGGAUCUUCUCAUUUUUAGGUCUGUAAUCAAGUCAGCUAGACAGUGACCCAAAAAGUAAUUAUCGAUCUGAUAAAAGGGAGAGGUAACACUGUGGGACACAUGAAUAACUGCCCUUGGAUGUGAAAAAAAGAGUUGAAUUGAAAUAUCUAGUUUGUCAAUACACCUGGAAGGCCUAGUUUGGAUAUAAGAGGGAAGAAAAAGCAUUUUAACUUUAGGUAAAUUUAGUUCUAAGAAAGAUCCUAGACGAACAAUGGGGAUGAAGUCCUCUGAUCUGUCCUAUGUGACUGUUCCUGCUGUCAUUCUCCUAUUAUUACGUCUCUUUUCCUCCUUCUCUUUCCUUUAUCUGUGUUAUCCGUGCCUUUACUGCUACCUCUAUCCAUGCCUCCAAUUUCUUCUAACGUCAUAUGGCCUCCCAUACCCAAGUACAUACAAUUUUUUUGAAACACGUCUUCAUUUCCAUCUUUGUAUACACGUAUCCCUAUGGCUGUGUCUACACUGGGCCACUUAUUCCGGAAAAGCAGCCCCUUUUCCGGAAUAAGCUGCGAGCUGU
Molecule: long non-coding RNA, 3778 nt
Organism: Pelodiscus sinensis (Chinese soft-shelled turtle)
Lineage: Eukaryota; Metazoa; Chordata; Testudines; Trionychidae
Source: RefSeq, a predicted model, not a curated record